UACGUAGGGCGCAAGCGUUGUCCGGAAUUAUUGGGCGUAAAGAGCUCGUAGGUGGCUUGUCGCGUCUGCCGUGAAAGCCCGCGGCUUAACUGCGGGUCUGCGGUGGAUACGGGCAGGCUAGAGGCUGGUAGGGGCAAGCGGAAUUCCUGGUGUAGCGGUGAAAUGCGCAGAUAUCAGGAGGAACACCGGUGGCGAAGGCGGCUUGCUGGGCCAGUUCUGACGCUGAGGAGCGAAAGCGUGGGGAGCGAACAGG
Molecule: ribosomal RNA, 253 nt
Filed under: uncultured bacterium
Lineage: Bacteria
Description: partial 16S ribosomal RNA
Rfam family: Bacterial small subunit ribosomal RNA
Source: RNAcentral